AGUGAACGCUGGCGGCAGGCCUAACACAUGCAAGUCGAACGGCAGCACAGUAAGAGCUUGCUCUUACGGGUGGCGAGUGGCGGACGGGUGAGGAAUACAUCGGAAUCUACUUUUUCGUGGGGGAUAACGUAGGGAAACUUACGCUAAUACCGCAUACGACCUACGGGUGAAAGCAGGGGAUCUUCGGACCUUGCGCGAUUGAAUGAGCCGAUGUCGGAUUAGCUAGUUGGCGGGGUAAAGGCCCACCAAGGCGACGGUCCGUAGCUGGUCUGAGAGGAUGGUCAGCCACACUGGAACUGAGACACGGUCCAGACUCCUACGGGAGGCAGCAGUGGGGAAUAUUGGACAAUGGGCGCAAGCCUGAUCCAGCCAUACCGCGUGGGUGAAGAAGGCCUUCGGGUUGUAAAGCCCUUUUGUUGGGAAAGAAAAGCAGCAGGUUAAUACCCCGCUGUUCUGACGGUACCCAAAGAAUAAGCACCGGCUAACUUCGUG
RNAcentral lists this ribosomal RNA (492 nucleotides) under uncultured bacterium. RNAcentral's name for it is "partial 16S ribosomal RNA". It matches the Rfam family "Bacterial small subunit ribosomal RNA", at positions 29 to 507 of the family's 1533-position model. The record is from RNAcentral.